GCGGGUAUGGCGAAAUUGGUAGACGCGUUAGACUUAGGAUCUAGUAGAUAGUAUCUGUGCAAGUUCAAGUCUUGCUACCCGC
RNAcentral lists this transfer RNA (82 nucleotides) under Chlorotetraedron incus. RNAcentral describes it as "tRNA-Leu". It matches the Rfam family "tRNA". Rfam says of the family: Transfer RNA (tRNA) molecules are approximately 80 nucleotides in length. The record is from RNAcentral. Lineage: Eukaryota; Viridiplantae; Chlorophyta; Chlorophyceae; Sphaeropleales; Neochloridaceae.